This 30-nucleotide non-coding RNA is filed under the name Rattus norvegicus (Norway rat). Lineage: Eukaryota; Metazoa; Chordata; Mammalia; Rodentia; Muridae. The record is from RNAcentral.
UGAUUGGUUGUUUACAGAAACAUUGGCAAC